RNAcentral lists this ribosomal RNA (426 nucleotides) under uncultured bacterium. RNAcentral describes it as "bacterial SSU rRNA". It matches the Rfam family "Bacterial small subunit ribosomal RNA", at positions 42 to 472 of the family's 1533-position model. The record is from RNAcentral.
UCAGGCCUAACACAUGCAAGUCGAGGGGUAGAACAUUUCGGUGUUUGGGACCGGCGCACGGGUGCGUAACGCGUAUGCAACCUACCUUUUACAGGGGAAUAGCCCAGAGAAAUUUGGAUUAAUGCCCCAUGGUAUAUUUAGAUGGCAUCAUCUGAUUAUUAAAGUUCCAACGGUAAAAGAUGGGCAUGCGUCCUAUUAGCUAGGUGGUAAGGUAACGGCUUACCAUGGCAACGAUAGGUAGGGGUCCUGAGAGGGAGAUCCCCCACACUGGUACUGAGACACGGACCAGACUCCUACGGGAGGCAGCAGUGAGGAAUAUUGGACAAUGGGCGCAAGCCUGAUCCAGCCAUGCCGCGUGCAGGAAGAAGCAUCUAUGGUGUAAAGGUGCUUUUGUACGGGAAGAAACACUCCUACGGUAGGAGCUGA